RNAcentral lists this long non-coding RNA (204 nucleotides) under Zostera marina. RNAcentral's name for it is "long non-coding RNA (ZMAR_LNC004634)". The record is from RNAcentral. Lineage: Eukaryota; Viridiplantae; Streptophyta; Magnoliopsida; Alismatales; Zosteraceae.
UGAUAACGAUAAGAUAGACCUUAACGUAUUCUAUAAAUAGAGAGGAUGAAUAAAGAUUCAAUACGCUUGAAUUCAUAGUUCUUCUAAACUACCAAAUAUUAUCUACGUUCAUACACUUCAAAACCAAAUGCCGGAGGAGAGAGCAUGGAUUGGAGGAGGAUUGGGAAAAAUUGGGGGAAGAUUUGGAAAGGUUUUGGGGUGCUU